This 460-nucleotide ribosomal RNA is filed under the name uncultured bacterium. RNAcentral describes it as "partial 16S ribosomal RNA". It matches the Rfam family "Bacterial small subunit ribosomal RNA", at positions 338 to 795 of the family's 1533-position model. The record is from RNAcentral.
CCUACGGGAGGCAGCAGUGAGGAAUAUUGGUCAAUGGACGAGAGUCUGAACCAGCCAAGUAGCGUGAAGGAUGACUGCCCUAUGGGUUGUAAACUUCUUUUAUAUGGGAAUAAAAUGUUUCACGUGUGGGAGUUUGUAUGUACCAUAUGAAUAAGGAUCGGCUAACUCCGUGCCAGCAGCCGCGGUAAUACGGAGGUUCCGAGCGUUAUCCGGAUUUAUUGGGUUUAAAGGGAGCGUAGGUGGAGUGUUAAGUCAGUUGUGAAAGUUUGCGGCUCAACCGUAUAAUUGCAGUUGAAACUGGCAGUCUUGAGUACAGUAGAGGUGGGCGGAAUUCGUGGUGUAGCGGUGAAAUGCUUAGAUAUCACGAAGAACUCCGAUUGCGAAGGCAGCUCACUGGACUGCAACUGACACUGAGGCUCGAAAGUGUGGGUAUCAAACAGGAUUAGAUAUCCGGGUAGUC